GCGGCAAAAGCUCAAAUUUGAAAUCUGGCGCCUUCGGUGUCCGAGUUGUAAUUUGAAGAUUGUAACCUUGGGGUUGGCUCUUGUCUAUGUUUCUUGGAACAGGACGUCACAGAGGGUGAGAAUCCCGUGCGAUGAGAUGCCCAAUUCUAUGUAAGGUGCUUUCGAAGAGUCGAGUUGUUUGGGAAUGCAGCUCUAAGUGGGUGGUAAAUUCCAUCUAAAGCUAAAUAUUGGCGAGAGACCGAUAGCGAACAAGUACAGUGAUGGAAAGAUGAAAAGAACUUUGAAAAGAGAGUGAAAAAGUACGUGAAAUUGUUGAAAGGGAAGGGUUUGAGAUCAGACUCGAUAUUUUGUGAGCCUUGCCUUCGUGGCGGGGUGACCCGCAGCUUAUCGGGCCAGCAUCGGUUUGGGCGGUAGGAUAAUGGCGUAGGAAUGUGACUUUACUUCGGUGAAGUGUUAUAGCCUGCGUUGAUGCUGCCUGCCUAGACCGAGGACUGCGAUUUUAUCAAGGAUGCUGGCAUAAUGAUCCCAAACCGCCCGUCUU
RNAcentral lists this ribosomal RNA (541 nucleotides) under Meyerozyma guilliermondii. Its description in RNAcentral is "eukaryotic LSU rRNA". It matches the Rfam family "Eukaryotic large subunit ribosomal RNA", at positions 98 to 655 of the family's 3401-position model. Lineage: Eukaryota; Fungi; Ascomycota; Pichiomycetes; Serinales; Debaryomycetaceae. The record is from RNAcentral.